AAGAAAGAAAGUCAGUUAUGUUCAGAAGAAUAAUCCCUUCAUUAAAUAAAAUAUCACAAUGGUGGCUCCACAGUAAAACAAACACUGUAACUUUGUUUAAUAUGGGCCGUUUAUAUGUCACUCAACCAAACAACUGAGAGAAAAUUAACAAAAAGGGAGUUUUCUGCUGUAUUUGGAACAGCCAAUGACUGCACACAUAAUCCCAGCCUUCCUAGACAACAGAAACAACUCCCACCUCUUGCUGCUGACUUUCAAAAGCCCGCUUCGCACACAACACCUAUGGUUGCCUGAUGAAGAACUGUCACCGCAGUAAUGGCGGUGGUUCAACUUAGUUUCGGCUUGUAGUGGAAACGCGGCUAUCGUCAAAUCAGAAGUCUCAUGUCUUAUACAGUAAGAUGAAGUGAGUGGGAAAGCAUUAGUAAAAGUUAAAAGCAGUAGCCUGUGUUUUCUCCUCACUGCCCCCCUUUACGCGAUGAUGUCACAUGUCAGCCCCUUUGACAGCGUCAUCUCUGCUUUCCACUGUGUGCAGCGGAACAAAGCAGAGAUGGCAGAGGAACUUAUCGUUAAAAAGAAACUGCACAGUGUUGUGGAAUAAUUUGGAAAACUGUCACACUGAGCGAAUCCUAUCUCAGAGAAUGCCAGUCACAUACACGCACACACGCACGCACACACACACACACACACACAUGUACAUGCACAUGGACACACACACGCAAACACACAUGCAAACACACACACACACACACACACACACACACACACACACACACACACACACACACACACACACACUCACACACCAACACACCGGGAGAUCCAUGUCUUCCACUUCCGCUACACAUGAGGAAGGUCGAAUCAGAGACGUCCAAUCCAGUUUUAUUUUUAAACGGUGUGAGUCCUCUGCUCCGAAUCACCCAAUCUUUGGUGCAACUACCUCAGUCUCCUUUUAGUCUCCUCCUUCCCUCCUUUUAUCCCUCUCCUCCCCAUCCUGCCACAGAGCAUCAUCAGGUUGCCAUAGAAACAAACUGCCUGUGAGAGAGAAAGAUCAGAUUGUUAUAGACUAUGGGAUCCAGAUGCUGAAGGGCAGGAUUCAAAUGUUUUUUAUUCACCUGUCUUUCUGUGAACACAGGAAGGGAACUCUUGACAGGAAAGCUUGGUCUCCGGAGCAGAACAACCACCGUAACGUGAGUGAAGUUCUAGUGGAGUUCUAACAAUCCACUGCACACUUUUUGAACACAUAACACCCUGUGCUUCAAAUUGCUAAAAAUAAACCCAAAUCUGAUCAGAUAUGCAAAAAGAUCUUUCCUGAGACGUAAACAUGAAGCCUCCAGCAGGCAGUUUAGCUGAACUUGCCUGCAUGCUGCAGAAUUAAUGGAUGUGACAGACAUGGCAGCUAUUGGUCUACUGAAAGCCCACAGUCAGGAAAAUCAAGAGUGCCUUAUUUAUGGGUGGGAAAUCGAAGUGGGAAAAGUGCAUUGCAGUGAGUUCAAGUUUAGAGACAGGAGCACCAAAUACAUCAAGCGAGUUGUUUUGUUUGAUAAAGAUCAAAGAGAAUUGUUGGGAGAAUGAAGUGUGUUUACAAGUCCCUGAAUCCAGGCUGCCUCUCUCUGCCCCAAUUAUUAGUGGGAGGUUAUGCGUGUAUAUGAGCAUAUUUGUGUUUGCUCUGUGGGCCCAUAGGGCUGCAAUAAGCUAAAGUGACAGUGGGGAUCUUUAAGAUGUGCUUUAGCAUUUACUACAGAGGGUAGAUCUUAUCUCUAAGAGAUCCCCAAGCGCCAAACUUUCUUUCCACUUUCUGAUUCAUCAGGAAGUGAUAAAAAAAGCAGUUCACCCGUCACAUUUUUGUCAUUUUAAAUUUAAUUUUAAAUAAUUUUUUCAUGAAGCGCCUCAUGACGUGCUAAAUAAAAGAUAAAUUCCUUUUUUUCUUUUUUUCACUGGGGGUGGAUCCAAAACACAGCAAAUCCUCAUUAACUCCCAUGUAAAAUCAAGCCUAUGCUGUCGACAGCCCACCUGGAGCGGGUACUCCAUGUUUUUGUAAUUUCUAGGCUUGAUUACUGCAACUCUCUAUAUGCAGGCCGGGGUCAGUCAUCACUGCGCCACCUACAGGUUGUGCAGAACUGCACAGCCAGGUUUCUGACUGGGACCAGGAAACGGGACCACAUCAGUCCGGUUCUGGCCUCCCUGCACUGGCUUCCGGUCUGUUAUCGUUCACACUUUAAACUCCUUGUCUUUGUUUACAAUUUAUUCCAGGUUAGUGCUCCCCCCUAUCUGGCCACGCUCCUGAACAGACAUUCCCCAUCACGCGCUCCGUGCUCCUCUGACCAAGGCCUCUCGCUGUCCCUCGUUCUAGGUGUCGUACUAGUGGGGACCGGGCUUUCUCAGUCCUAGCACCGUCAUUCCACCCUCAGUCAGGCUGUCCCCAUCUCUGCCAGCCUUUAAGAGUCGCCUAAAAACCCACCUCCUCCGCUUGGCAUUCCCUGAAUGUGUUUGAGUUAGGCCUUCAUUUAUGUUGAUUUUAAUUCCCUGCUUUCAUCGGUCUCUUUAUCUCUUGUUUUACCCAUUUGUUUUCUACUCUAAUGUUUUUACCUGUUUCUCUCGUGUACCGUGUUCAGCGCCUUGGGCUUCCUGACAGGGUUGCGGAAGGCGCUCUAUAAAUAAAGCUUUGAUUUGAUUUGAUGUUAAAAAUGCCAACUUCACAGCAGAAAUAAACACUUUUACAGCCUGGUUAAUAGGUCUAGUUGUCACAAUACGGGAUGGUAGGACCCAAAAUGCAGGAACCUAAGAUGACUCGAGGCAGGAGGGGAUAUAAGAAAAUAUCCUUUAUUUGGAUGAGCCCAGAACAACAAAAGUAGAUCCAAAGGCAGGGAGCCAAUAAGUCCAAAAAUGUUCAAUAACUAAGCUAGAGACAAAAACACAAAAGACUAGAAAAGACUGAGAUUCAAAAUGCUAGAGACUAGAGAAGGCUUGACAGAAUUACCACAAUGGGCCGACACAAGACAGAGACAAGACAUGGCUUAAAUACACAGGGAGGAGUAAUUAGGGAAAAUGGCAGCAGGUGUGUGGAGCGAGGGCUGGAGUGAAGAUAGGUGAAUAUGAUAAUCUAACUGGGAAAACAGAAACAGAGGAGGGCAAAUACCUUAACACAAAACUAAACAACAAUUAUCUAAAGACAGAGGGAAGGGCUCAAACUAGCUGGAGGAGCACACACACACACACACACACAUUGAGUUGGGGAGGACACGCACGCAUGCACGCACACACACACACACACACACACACACACACACACACACACACACACACACACACACACACACACACACACA
Molecule: long non-coding RNA, 3323 nt
Organism: Nothobranchius furzeri (turquoise killifish)
Lineage: Eukaryota; Metazoa; Chordata; Actinopteri; Cyprinodontiformes; Nothobranchiidae
Source: Ensembl